Molecule: long non-coding RNA, 1721 nt
Filed under: Homo sapiens (human)
Lineage: Eukaryota; Metazoa; Chordata; Mammalia; Primates; Hominidae
Description: HSALNT0188066
Source: RNAcentral
UUUAUCUUACAAAGUGAAGAGACUGUAUAUUUUAUAUUUAUAUUUUCCAUGCACAGUGGUCUGUUCUUCCAUUAUCUUUUCUUAUGAGAGGCAUAAUGACAAAUAAGUCCAAAGAAUGUGUAGCAUUAUUAUGGCAGAUCAAUCAAAUGGCUAAUUACCCCUCUUAUCUAAGUGGCAUUAUCUUGCUUUAAAGGUGAUGAAAAUAACAAAUGAAGAAGUUAUUUCGUUUUUUAAAAACAAUUCUGUAAGGAACCAGUCUAUCACUGAUGGGCAUUUGGGUUGGUUCCAAGUCUUUGCUAUUGUGAAUAGUGCUGCAAUAAAUAUACAUGUGCUUGUGUCUUUAUGGUAGAAUGAUUUAUAAUCCUUGGGGUAUAUACCCAGUAAUGGGAUUGCUGGAAUAAAAAUUAUUGGAUUAUGGGUGGAGAAAAUACAUACAAAUGGCCAACAGAUAGACAAAAAAAAUGCUCAAAAUCACUAACCAUCAGGGAAAUGCAAAUUAAAACCGCAGUGAGACAUCACCUCACACCUGUUAGAAUAGCUAUUAUCAAGAAGACAAAAGAUAAGUGUUGGUGAAGAUGUAGAGAAAAGGGAGCCCUUGGACACUGUUGGUGGGAAUGCAAAUUAGUGCAGCCAUUUUGAAAAACCAUGUGAAAGUUCCUCAAAACACUAAAAAUAUAAUUACCACGUGAUCCAGCAAUUCCAAGUCUGGAUAUAUAUACAAGAGUAUUGAAAUUAGUAUGUCAAAGGUAUAUGUCACUCCCAUGUUUACUGUAGCAUUAUUCACAAUAGCUAAGAUAUGAAAUCAACCUAAGUGCCCAUCGAUGGAUGAAAGGAUAAAGGAAAUGUAUAUACAUACAGCAGAAUACUAUUCAGCCUUAAAAAUGAAAGAAAUUCUGUCACUUGACAACAUGGAUGAAUCUGGAGAACAUUAUGCUAAGUGAAAUAAGUCAGGCGCAGAAAGACAAGUACUGCAUGGUCUCACUCACUUAUGUGUGGAAUCUUAAAAAGUUGAAUGUAUAGAAGUAGAGAGUAGAAGAUUGUUGCCAGAGGUGGGAGGGUGGGGGGUGGAUGGGGAAAGAGAAGAUGUCAGUCAAAAGGUUCAAAGUUUCAGUUAGGAGGAAUAAGUUUUAGCGAUCAGAAUGGCACAGCACAGUGACUAUAGUUAAUAAUAACGUAUUUUAUAUUUCAGAAUUUGCUGAAGGAGUUUUAAGUGUAUCAUCACAAAGAAAUAAGUGUGUGAAAUAAUAGAUAUGUUAAUUUGCCUGAUUUAAUGAUUCUAUGAUAUACGUGUGUGUAUCAUAGCACCACAUUGUACCUCAUAAAUAUAUAUAAUUAUUACUUGUCAAUUAAAUUUUAAAAAAGGAUAACUGGUUUGAAUGCAUUUAUACUUUAGUUAUUAUUUAUUUAAAAUUAGUAUUUAAUCUAAUUUUUACAUUUUCAGGAGUGUGUAAACUCUCAGGUAUAGCUUUCUAAUUGAGUCUGUUGUUAAAGUAUACAAGAUAAUGACCUAUUGACCCAUUUCUAGAUAUUCUAUAAAGACAUUAGUUCUAUUCUGACCUAAAUCUGAUAAUGCUAUCAUUGAAAAGGUAACAUACAAAUAAAUACAAGAGAGAUUCAAAAAUCAAAGAUCAGUAAACAGGCAACCUACAGAACAGGAGGAAAUAUCUGUGAACUAGGCAUUUGACAAAGGUAUAAUAUCUAGCAUCUAUAAGGAACUUAAA